Molecule: transfer RNA, 68 nt
Filed under: Galegeeska revoilii (Somali elephant shrew)
Lineage: Eukaryota; Metazoa; Chordata; Mammalia; Macroscelidea; Macroscelididae
Description: tRNA-His
Rfam family: tRNA
About the family: Transfer RNA (tRNA) molecules are approximately 80 nucleotides in length. Their secondary structure includes four short double-helical elements and three loops (D, anti-codon, and T loops).
Source: RNAcentral
GUGAAUAUAGUUUAAAACAACACUAGACUGUGAAUCUAGAAAUAGGAGCAUAACUCUCCUUAUUCACC